This is a long non-coding RNA of Cebus imitator (Panamanian white-faced capuchin), 842 nucleotides long. RefSeq lists it as uncharacterized. NCBI's taxonomy places the organism in Eukaryota, Metazoa, Chordata, Mammalia, Primates, Cebidae. The record is from RefSeq and is a predicted model, not a curated record. The transcript is spliced from 2 exons.
CUUAUAAGGUGUUUGACAUAAAUAGCUUUUAUUAUGUAACUCUUAAAUAGAAGGCAUACACACAUUUCUUAAAGGUCCCAGCUGCCACUGUUAUCACUGGAGGCAUAAAAUUGGAAUCCCAACUUCCAAUAUCAAAUUUUAGCACAAGUCCUAUAAAAUGUAUCUUGUCAGAACGUGCCAGAACCGCUAAGCUCUUUUCUGCAGAACAAGCUGCAGCUGGCGUCCUCAGGGGUCGAGAAUCAGCUUGCUGCAUCCUCAGGGUUUAGGCAGCAAAUUGGUCCCAGUUUUUCCCCUGCCACGGGGCUGGCUGGGGAGGGCAGGGGUUUAGAUUAGCCGUGGCCUAGGCCGUUUGACGGGGUGACACGAGCCUGCAGGGCCGAGGCCAAGGCCUGGAGAUAGGACCAACCGUCAGGAAUGCGAGGAAUGUUUUUCUUCGGACUCUAUCGAGGCACACAGACAGACCAUGGGGAUUGUGUCUGCAGUGACAGCCUUAACAUUUGCCAGAGCCCUGGACGGCUGCAGAAAUGGCAUUGCCCACCCUGCAAGUGAGAAGCUACACAGACGUGAGGACACACAAUGCAAACGUUAUGUGGCAGCUUUGGGAGAGGCUUUUUAUGCCUGUCUCUUUCCACUCGCAGCAGAUUCGAGAAAUGUGCAGAACUCGAGAGCAGCCACUCGGCCUCCAGGAUCAACCCGGCACUGAAGAAAAGCCCAGAGAAAUUAUUCCUCAGCCCGAAACGAAGCCGGGAUCAAAUGGUUGCUGAUCAGAGCAAAUAUUUAAAUUGAGAAAGUCAAAUUGAGCAUUAUUAAAUAAAGCUUGUUUUACAUGUCUCAAACAGAAA